GGGCCCGCACAAGCGGUGGAGUAUGUGGUUUAAUUCGAUGCAACGCGAAGAACCUUACCAGGGUUUGACAUCCUGCGAAUCUCUUGGAAACAGGAGAGUGCCUUCGGGAACGCAAUGACAGGUGGUGCAUGGCUGUCGUCAGCUCGUGUCGUGAGAUGUUGGGUUAAGUCCCGCAACGAGCGCAACCCACGUCUUUAGUUGCCAGCAUUUAGUUGGGCACUCUAGCGAGACCGCCGGUGAUAAACCGGAGGAAGGUGUGGAUGACGUCAAGUCAUCAUGCCCCUUACAUCCUGGGCUACACGCAUGCUACAAUGGCCGGUACAGAGGGCUGCAAUACCGCAAGGUGGAGCGAAUCCCAAAAAGCCGGUCUCAGUUCGGAUUGGAGUCUGCAACUCGACUCCAUG
Molecule: ribosomal RNA, 404 nt
Filed under: uncultured bacterium
Lineage: Bacteria
Description: bacterial SSU rRNA
Rfam family: Bacterial small subunit ribosomal RNA
Source: RNAcentral